CUCAGCCAUCCGUCUCUCUGCCCCAAGUUAUCUCUCGGACGCAGACGGGCGUGUGCUCCUCUCUCACCCGUCUCCCAGGACUUCGCGAAACCGGUGCGAAGCUGCUGGGGGAGUUUACAACGUGCCAAACGGAGUGCAAACUCCACGGAGAUUCCGGGCUUGGAAGGCCCGCGGGCCGGAAUUUCCUAAGGGACUACUUCGCUGGGGCCCUCAAGGUGUAGAAACCGGAGUAUGGCCCGAAGACGAGGGUUCUAGACUGGAUUCAGCGACUGUUUUCCUGUGGAACAUCCAACAGAUCACUUCCCUCUGUGGGCCUUGGUUUCCCAAUCUAUCAGCCGAGGUCUUCACACUGGGAUGCCCACCCUUGGAACCCAGCCACCAGGUUGUGAGGAAGCCCAGGCCACAUGGCAGACGUGACAUGGGAUGAUCUGGCUACCUCUCCCGCUAGACUCUCAGAUGACAGCAGGUCUCAGUCACCAGAUUGGUGGUGAACUGAGAUGAUUCUGGCCCCUAGCCUUUGUCUUUCAGCCAAGGUCCAGGAUAUGAAACAGAGACAAGCCAACCUUGCUGUGCCCUGUCUGAAUUUCACUCCCACAGAAAUUGGGAGUUAAGAAGUGAUUAUUGUUGUUUUAAGCCAACGAGGCUGGUACGGAACCCAGGUUCAGCUGUUCGCCACUCUAAAGGUCAAUACUCGAGAGACAAGUAUUGGUAGAAAAGGAAAAGUUGCUUUGUUCAGGAGGCCAGCAACCUGGGAAGAUGGUGAACUAAUGUCCUAAGACUGUCUCCAAGUUGCCGGAUUAGCCCAUUAAACACAAAGGACAUGUUGCAAUAAAACUGGGCACGAUGACCACUGAAUUGGUGAUCCAUUCUGACUCACAGCGCCCUGCAGCCGCGGUGACCAGGAUGUGGGCAAGCUUCAGGCUGAAGGUUGAGCUUCAUCUUCUUAAAAUGCAGUAAUCGAAGUCCCAACAUUGUCCGGGUACGUUCAGGAAGCACUCUUGCUCCCAGCUGAAAGAUGACUUAAGCUCAGAGGAUGAAGACCGCUGACCGUGAGUUGUUAUUCUGCUGUCCCAGUUUGAAUUUAAAGCUUUACGAUCCUUGCUUUCGUCAGCUCGAGGAAGCUCCUUGCCGAUUUACAUCCAGGGCUUAAUUCACCAAAGUUGGAAUGAUCUGCUCUUGGCAUUUCAUAACCAAUCUCAGUUUUCUAUCUCUUGGCCAUCGUAUUGUCAGAAACCUCAUAUUCUUGUUUGCUCGACCAGUUUAUAGAGAAGCUUUGUCUCCGCAGACAGAUCGUGGUUCCAUCUGGCCCUGCCACCAAAAGUCUUGUGAUUCCAGAUGGAAAAAUCCCCAUCCCCCCACUAUUUCCAAAGCGGCCCCCACCCUGAUUGUUUUAUCUACAGCCAGCAGCACAAAUCCUCCACAAACAGUCUCAGUAGGGGUGGAAAGAGCCACUAAUGAGGGAAACAGCUCAUCCCUUCUUCCAUUCUUAAGCCCUGUGCUGUAUGAAAUGGAAAAAUUCACACAUCUGGCUGGAUUGGUUGAAAUGGGGAGCUGUAGGGCAAAGAAGCUGGGGAGGUCUUGCCUUUAUCAAAGAAGAUGUCAGAAAAAAAGGCUAUUCUUACUGGCAAGAAAAAUUAUUACUUUCCAUCAUGGCUGUAGCUAUUCAACCAUCUAAACCUUUUUUUUUUUUCAAAAGACAUCCUUAAGGAACCCUAAGUAUUUAGCUGGAAUCUUCUGGUAGUGGCCAGUUUUCUCCCUGUGUGUGUGUUUGGAGGAAUAAAAGGAAUCAAACUGGUUUCCCUUCAGCACUGUCCUCACUCACCUGUCAGCCGAGAAAGAAAAGGGGAGGGUGAAUGGGAGGGGAGAGGGAGAAGGAGAAGAUUUCUGAAUUUGAGGAGCAAAAUUUCAGCUGCCCAGAGAAUGCGGGGAGGUGUGUCCACUCCUUCCAUCCUUCUUUUUCUGCCCUGGACCCCUUACCACUUCCCCUGGAGGCUCUGGGACCUCCCUCUCACCACUUAUUUCCUCCCUUCUCCGCUACAAGGGAGCCCAGAUUUUUGGUAAUCUGUUGACCGGGUUGAAGUGUAUCUGAGCUCUGUGCUCCCAGAGAGCCAGGGAGCUGGGACGGUAGAGAAACUACAGAGGAAUAUGUUCACAUAGUCAGUUUAUUCCCAUCCUGCCCUUCAGAUGAGACCUGUUGUCCACUCUCCUCCCGACUCUCUUGUCUCUAUGAAACCCCAGGCCCUCCUUCCUUUUCUCUGUAUUAAUGAAUGGUCUCCCUUUUGCAAGAGCCUGAAUAAGAUCAUCCCCUUAAUUACCCAGUGCCUCCCUUUCACACUGUGCUGCCCAUCCUGGGAGUCUGAAACAGAACCACAUACACAUGCGGAGUUAAGAAGAGGAAUUACCCCAGCUGGUCUAGAGGAAGAUGUGAACAGCAUCUAGUUAAUGGGCUGGAGGUAAAGAUUCUUUGAAGCAUGUAUUCUCCUUCUGGCUGUGUUUUUCACUUGAAAACCCCAGAAGCAGUUGGCUUAAGAGGGAGUUUAUUAAUAUGCCUAUGAAGGGAAACAUAAAUCCACACUGU
Non-coding RNA from Vicugna pacos (alpaca), 2578 nucleotides. The record is from RefSeq and is a predicted model, not a curated record. Lineage: Eukaryota; Metazoa; Chordata; Mammalia; Artiodactyla; Camelidae.